GGUCCCAUGGGAUUAUUGUAGUCCCAUGGGAUAUUUGUUGUCCCAUGGGACAAAAAAAUCCCAUGGGACUAUAAUUAUCCCAUGGGAUU
Molecule: small RNA, 89 nt
Filed under: Mytilus galloprovincialis (Mediterranean mussel)
Lineage: Eukaryota; Metazoa; Mollusca; Bivalvia; Mytilida; Mytilidae
Source: RNAcentral